This 353-nucleotide ribosomal RNA is filed under the name Salmonella enterica subsp. enterica. RNAcentral's name for it is "partial 23S ribosomal RNA". It matches the Rfam family "Bacterial large subunit ribosomal RNA", at positions 614 to 968 of the family's 2925-position model. Lineage: Bacteria; Pseudomonadati; Pseudomonadota; Gammaproteobacteria; Enterobacterales; Enterobacteriaceae. The record is from RNAcentral.
AAUGGGUCAGCGACUUAUAUUCUGUAGCAAGGUUAACCGUAUAGGGGAGCCGGAGGGAAACCGAGUCUUAACCGGGCGUUAAGUUGCAGGGUAUAGACCCGAAACCCGGUGAUCUAGCCAUGGGCAGGUUGAAGGUUGGGUAACACUAACUGGAGGACCGAACCGACUAAUGUUGAAAAAUUAGCGGAUGACCUGUGGCUGGGGGUGAAAGGCCAAUCAAACCGGGAGAUAGCUGGUUCUCCCCGAAAGCUAUUUAGGUAGCGCCUCGUGAAUUCAUCUCCGGGGGUAGAGCACUGUUUCGGCUAGGGGGUCAUCCCGACUUACCAACCCGAUGCAAACUGCGAAUACCGGAG